Small nuclear RNA from Zalophus californianus (California sea lion), 104 nucleotides. Lineage: Eukaryota; Metazoa; Chordata; Mammalia; Carnivora; Otariidae. The record is from Ensembl.
GUGCUCAGUUUGGCAGUACGUAUUCUAAAAUUGGAAUGAUACAGAGAUUAGCCUGGCCCCUGUGCAAGGAUCACAUGCAAAUUUGUGAAGCAUUUAAUAUUUUU